UACGUAGGGGGCUAGCGUUGUCCGGAUUUAUUGGGCGUAAAGAGCUCGUAGGCGGUUUGUCGCGUCUGCUGUGAAAUCCCGAGGCUCAACCUCGGGUCUGCAGUGGGUACGGGCAGACUGGAGUGCGGUAGGGGAGAAUGGAAUUCCUGGUGUAGCGGUGGAAUGCGCAGAUAUCAGGAGGAACACCGAUGGCGAAGGCAGUUCUCUGGGCCGUAACUGACGCUGAGGAGCGAAAGCGUGGGGAGCGAACAGG
Molecule: ribosomal RNA, 253 nt
Filed under: uncultured bacterium
Lineage: Bacteria
Description: partial 16S ribosomal RNA
Rfam family: Bacterial small subunit ribosomal RNA
Source: RNAcentral